This 346-nucleotide ribosomal RNA is filed under the name uncultured eukaryote. RNAcentral describes it as "partial 18S ribosomal RNA". It matches the Rfam family "Eukaryotic small subunit ribosomal RNA", at positions 1470 to 1796 of the family's 1831-position model. The record is from RNAcentral.
CCCUUAGAUGUUCUGGGCCGCACGCGCGCUACACUGACGACUUCAACGAGUUUUUUUCAUUUGAAAAAGUCCUUGGCCGGAAGGUCUGGGUAAUCUUUUAAAAGGUCGUCGUGAUGGGGCUAGAUUCUUGCAAUUAUUAAUCUCCAACGAGGAAUUCCUAGUAAACGCAAGUCAUCAACUUGCAUUGAUUACGUCCCUGCCCUUUGUACACACCGCCCGUCGCUACUACCGAUUGAACGGUUUAGUGAGGGCCUCGGAUUGGUCUCGGCCCGCUCUUUACCGGGCGGCGCCGUUGGUCGAGAAGACGCUCGAACUUGAUCGUUUAGAGGAAGUAAAAGUCGUAACA